AUACAAUGAUGUGGACACGUAACCAACAAACCCUUGAAUAUCUCCCAUAUUUCUUGUAAUAUCUCUGUUGGUUUUUGUAUAAAACUCAAUAUCUCAUCAAUUUGUUA
This is a non-coding RNA of Nicotiana sylvestris (wood tobacco), 107 nucleotides long. The record is from Rfam. Lineage: Eukaryota; Viridiplantae; Streptophyta; Magnoliopsida; Solanales; Solanaceae.